Molecule: ribosomal RNA, 297 nt
Filed under: uncultured Synechococcus sp.
Lineage: Bacteria; Bacillati; Cyanobacteriota; Cyanophyceae; Synechococcales; Synechococcaceae
Description: partial 16S ribosomal RNA
Rfam family: Bacterial small subunit ribosomal RNA
Source: RNAcentral
ACAAAGGGCAGCAAGUUCGCGAGGACAAGCAAAUCCCAUAAACCGUGGCUCAGUUCAGAUCGUAGGCUGCAACUCGCCUACGUGAAGGAGGAAUCGCUAGUAAUCGCAGGUCAGCAUACUGCGGUGAAUACGUUCCCGGGCCUUGUACACACCGCCCGUCACACCAUGGAAGUUGGCCACGCCCGAAGUCGUUACUCCAACCCUCUGGGAGGAGGACGCCGAAGGUGGGGCUGAUGACUGGGGUGAAGUCGUAACAAGGUAGCCGUACCGGAAGGUGCGGCUGGAUCACCUCCUAAC